UAGGGAAUAUUGGACAAUGGGGGCAACCCUGAUCCAGCCAUGCCGCGUGAGUGAAGAAGGCCCUCGGGUUGUAAAGCUCUUUUGUCCGGAAAGAAAAGCUUCGGGUUAAUACCCCGGGGUUCUGACGGUACCGGAAGAAUAAGCACCGGCUAACUUCGUGCCAGCAGCCGCGGUAAUACGAAGGGUGCAAGCGUUACUCGGAAUUACUGGGCGUAAAGCGUGCGUAGGUGGUUGUUUAAGUCUGAUGUGAAAGCCCUGGGCUCAACCUGGGAAUGGCAUUGGAAACUGGGCAGCUAGAGUGCGGUAGAGGGUAGUGGAAUUCCCGGUGUAGCAGUGAAAUGCGUAGAGAUCGGGAGGAACAUCUGCGGCGAAGGCGACUGCCUGGACCAGCACUGACACUGAGGCACGAAAGCGUGGGGAGCAAACA
Molecule: ribosomal RNA, 427 nt
Filed under: uncultured bacterium
Lineage: Bacteria
Description: bacterial SSU rRNA
Rfam family: Bacterial small subunit ribosomal RNA
Source: RNAcentral